UAUGCCAUACCAGUAUCUCCAUGAAGGAAAAACUACCUUUUUCUUGUAGGAUCUUCCAGAUCUAAUGAGAUAUGGGGUGAAAUAUUUUUUUAAAAAAAUUAUCCUACUUUAUUUUAGAUCUAAGGUCUAUUAGAUCUAAUUCUUAUUAUCUAAUAUUUAAUUUAAAAUUAAAUCUAAAACUUGAGGAUUAGAGGAAUACCUCUAGGGUAACUAGAUUACCCGGUAGAUGAUCGCAGCAACGUCCGAGGUUCUAAAAUAGCCAUGCAGUCGUUUGGCCUCUACUAGUAUCCACUUGAGUAGGAUCUAGAUUAUCUUCUCCUCAUGAAUCUUUGCUCCAAAAAUUAGAUCUAGAUUUGAUCUACAAGAUCUUCAAAAGAUCUUCUGAAGCUGGAGCAGCAGCUUCUUGACAAAUCCCUGCAGCCU
RNAcentral lists this long non-coding RNA (423 nucleotides) under Elaeis guineensis (African oil palm). RNAcentral describes it as "long non-coding RNA (EGUI_LNC069227)". The record is from RNAcentral. Lineage: Eukaryota; Viridiplantae; Streptophyta; Magnoliopsida; Arecales; Arecaceae.